GCUCCAUGGCCUACGACCUGCAAGAGGUCUUGUACUGUUUAUCGUGAUAAUCUGUGGGCUCCUGGUGCCUGUGCUGCCACGGAGCUGUACAGCCACGGAACGCAGCUGCCUGAAGUUAAUGAUUCAGGAGUCACCAUCUGUGCUGAGUUCUGUCUCUUUGGCACAUACCACACAGACACGUCCAGAGGUGAAGGCAGUACUUACACUCACAGAUUAACAUUCCUGCUCAUCGGAACAACUUUCCAAGGAGAAGGCCCAGUUUUCUGAAUAUUAAAACUUUAGGUAGAGGAAUUCACAGUGGUCUGG
This 306-nucleotide long non-coding RNA is filed under the name Homo sapiens (human). RNAcentral describes it as "non-protein coding lnc-FRMD6-4:1". The record is from RNAcentral. Lineage: Eukaryota; Metazoa; Chordata; Mammalia; Primates; Hominidae.